UACAUAGGGUGCGAGCGUUAUUCGGAAUUACUGGGCGUAAAGCGCGCGUAGGCGGCUUUUCAAGUCGAUUGUGAAAUCCCCGGGCUUAACCUGGGAACUGCAGUCGAGACUGUCUAGCUAGAGUAUGGGAGAGGGAAGUGGAAUUUCAGGUGUAGCGGUGAAAUGCGUAGAUAUCUGAAGGAACAUCAGUGGCGAAAGCGACUUCCUGGACCAAUACUGACGCUCAUGUGCGAAAGCGUGGGGAGCAAACAGG
Molecule: ribosomal RNA, 253 nt
Filed under: uncultured bacterium
Lineage: Bacteria
Description: partial 16S ribosomal RNA
Rfam family: Bacterial small subunit ribosomal RNA
Source: RNAcentral